Malus domestica (apple) is the source of this 802-nucleotide long non-coding RNA. RefSeq lists it as uncharacterized. NCBI's taxonomy places the organism in Eukaryota, Viridiplantae, Streptophyta, Magnoliopsida, Rosales, Rosaceae. The record is from RefSeq and is a predicted model, not a curated record.
UCAUGAAGGUUGAUAAAUUUUUUAGCAUUUCACACUUUAUUGAUGUCUGGACGUUUACUGACAUGUGUUUGAUCCCUGCAGGUGAACACGGUUGUCUUUGAUAUAACAGGAACUCUGACAGUUGGGAAACGGUAGUUAAUGCAGUGCUCGUUUCCAAUUACUCAAUUGAGGAGUUCUGUGCUGUAUCUAUUGCCACAGAGUUUCCAGCUCAUAGCAAGGGAAGGACGCCAUGGGAGCCUCUUUACAGGCCUGCGGGCGCCAGAAGUACGUCGAAACCGGACGCAAAGUCCACAACUUGGUCUCUGCGUUGACCGUUUUCAACUGUGAUUUUGUUCUCAACACACGCAUCAUUACCAUGUGCAAUGUGCGGUUCUCCUUUGGAUUCCCGCUCAGUUUUCGACGGGCUGAAGAGGAAGAACUUGUUCCAGUGGAAUGCGCUUGUUAGUGGGCAAUGCGUUGAUUGCAAUGUAUGGGAAAUGCGGGUCGGUUGAGGAUGCAGCUAAAGUGUUCGAGAUAAUGCCUGAGAAGAAUUGUGAUUUGUUUGAAUUGUAAGAGGCUGCUAAAGACGUUUGGAUCAACUGAACAUGUGAUGGAGGCUAAGGAUUUUGAGGUGCACACAGGAGCUGGCGUUAGUGGAAGAGUUGGUGGCAAAAUGGUUUUGGUUGGGACUUAAUAUGUGUUUACAAAUUAAUAUUUCUUGUAGUUUAAGCAAAUACCAAGCCAAAGUUCCUCUAAAAUAACGGUAUCUUUUAUUUAUUAGGCCAAGCAUAAAAUGAGAUACAUAUAUAGUAUUAUGGGAAUA